This 274-nucleotide ribosomal RNA is filed under the name uncultured bacterium. Its description in RNAcentral is "partial 16S ribosomal RNA". It matches the Rfam family "Bacterial small subunit ribosomal RNA", at positions 523 to 796 of the family's 1533-position model. The record is from RNAcentral.
AUACGGAGGGUCCAAGCGUUAUCCGGAAUCAUUGGGUUUAAAGGGCCCGCAGGCGGUCAAUUAAGUCAGAGGUGAAAGCCCAUCGCUCAACGAUGGAACUGCCUUUGAUACUGGUUGACUUGAGUUAUACGGAAGUAGAUAGAAUAAGUAGUGUAGCGGUGAAAUGCAUAGAUAUUACUUAGAAUACCGAUUGCGAAGGCAGUCUACUACGUAUAUACUGACGCUGAGGGACGAAAGCGUGGGGAGCGAACAGGAUUAGAAACCCUAGUAGUCC